This 373-nucleotide ribosomal RNA is filed under the name uncultured organism. RNAcentral's name for it is "bacterial SSU rRNA". It matches the Rfam family "Bacterial small subunit ribosomal RNA", at positions 526 to 896 of the family's 1533-position model. The record is from RNAcentral.
CGGAGGGUGCGAGCGUUGUCCGGAAUCACUGGGCGUAAAGGGCGCGUAGGUGGCACGGUAAGCGUGUGGUGAAAGCUCGGGGCUCAACCCCGAGUCGGCCAUGCGAACUGCUGCGCUUGAGCACUGUAGAGGCAGACGGAAUUCCGGGUGUAGCGGUGGAAUGCGUAGAGAUCCGGAAGAACACCGGUGGCGAAGGCGGUCUGCUGGGCAGUAGCUGACACUGAGGCGCGACAGCGUGGGGAGCAAACAGGAUUAGAUACCCUGGUAGUCCACGCCGUAAACGAUGGGCACUAGGUGCCUGGGGGGAGCGACCCCCUGGGUGCCGGCGCUAACGCAUUAAGUGCCCCGCCUGGGGAGUACGGCCGCAAGGCUG